Molecule: ribosomal RNA, 504 nt
Filed under: uncultured bacterium
Lineage: Bacteria
Description: bacterial SSU rRNA
Rfam family: Bacterial small subunit ribosomal RNA
Source: RNAcentral
UAGUCCACGCCGUAAACGAUGGAUACUAGCUGUUCGAUCUUCGGAUUGAGUGGCUAAGCGAAAGUGAUAAGUAUCCCACCUGGGGAGUACGUUCGCAAGAAUGAAACUCAAAGGAAUUGACGGGGGCCCGCACAAGCGGUGGAGCAUGUGGUUUAAUUCGAUGAUACGCGAGGAACCUUACCAGGGCUUAAAUGUAGCUGGACAGAUUUAGAAAUAGAUCCUCCUUCGGGCUAGUUACAAGGUGCUGCAUGGUUGUCGUCAGCUCGUGCCGUGAGGUGUCAGGUUAAGUCCUAUAACGAGCGCAACUCCUAUCGUAUGUUACCAGCAUUUAGUUGGGGACUCAUGCGAGACUGCCGGUGUUAAGCCGGAGGAAGUGGGGACGACGUCAAGUCAUCAUGGCCCUUACGUGUAGGGCUAGAAACGUGCUACAAUGGGAGUUACAGUGGGCAGCAACGUCGCGAGGCGAAGCUAAUCCCUAAAAGCUCUCUCAGUUCGGAUAGGACU